UAUAAAACAGAAAGCAUCAGCUUGCAAUAAAUUCACAGAUGUGUUAAGUAACACACAAUGGAGGUCCUUUCAGCAAACUGUCAAAAGGAAAAGACUGCACUGGGAGUAGGAAAGGGCAGGCUGCCCCUCUGCCGAAUUUGGCAGAUUGGAUUUUACAUCUGCUCCCCGACCUAUUACAACCUCAUUUAUCUGCUUCGUCCCCAUCCCCUGUCCUGCCUCAGCUGCACACAGUGGCUCUGCUAAGGCACACGUAAGGAGAAGGGGCUUCAACCUCUCCAGGGGUGCUGGAGCUGCAAUAACAACGCCAGUGCUGAGGAAAGUUUCUGCGAGUUUAAGGGUUUUGGCAGGUAUUGUAACAAAAAGGAGGGAAGCUUUCUGCUCAUGCAGGGACCGUUUUCUUAACCACAAAUAAAUCAGAUAUUUGGCAUUUUCUGAGUUGCCGCCCUCCAGAAAGAACAACGUAUUGCUGGCUGUGUCGGAAUCAAGUGUAAUGGACAGAGGGAAGAAAAAGGAGACAUCUAUGGCUCCAAGCCUGCAGUAAACAUUUCCAUGCCAUGCUGAAGACCUGGGCUGGUAUGCCCUCAGCAGAGCUAUUGAAAGAUAUGUUUUUUAUGGCCAGAGAUCAUUUUCUUCUGAAUAUGAAAACCCAGAGAUAAAAAGGUCUUUAUUUACAAGUGUUGGAGCAGAGAGGUUGCAAACUGCAUCCCUGAGCCAGCAAAGAUUUCUGUGCUGGGGUGGGAGCUGAGUGGGAAGUCGGUGGUGCUGGGUAUGCUAUUGGGAAUGGUCCACCACACUUUGCCCCUGGCACUUCUGGCCUCUUUUGCACUCUUUGCCACUGGGAGACUGUGAAUUAUGCCCACAUAAAGCCAUAGAAAGAACAGUAAUUAAGUAGAAUCCAACUUUUCACUUAUGCCAUGCAAGCCUGAUCCUCAACCAUCUCUUCAAAUGACUUUUUAGGGUGGUCCACCUGACUUGAAAAGUUAUGGGGCACAGAUCAGGCGCUCAGGGAGCGGAGUGCUGCGGUGCCCUCUCCCCUUGCCCAAGCAGUGAUCAGAGCCUCCGUGUAGCCCCGGUUGUCCAAGCUGGCAAAGCCCAGAAUCUUUCUGGGCUCAUAAAUAGCGUUAUUUAUGUAGCAUGGGCAAACAAGUGCACCCACAGAUUCUGUUUGGGGGCAUUUAAACAGGAGGCACGUUUUUAAAGCUUUCUGUCUGAAAAAUGAUCUGAAGGAGGUUCCUUAUACGAGUGAAACUCCAUGACAGGAGCCUUCCUCCAAUUAUUCCUACAUACUGGGACAACAAAUAUGUCUAGCUGGGAGCCUUGCCACUUCGCUUCCUUCCAUGUAGAAAUAAGGGAAAGGUUGAGAACCGAGGCUGUGAAUCCCUGCUGUACCCCUGUAAAGUAAUAAUAGCAGCAUCAGUAAUAGCUCUUAAAUCAGGAGGACUUGCUGCAGCUCGCUCCCACGAGGCUUGCAUGACAGCAUUUAACGUUCACGGGAAUGACAUGUUCCCAGCAAGAACAUUCUCAUUUGCAUUAUGGCAGGACAUGGAGACCCAAGUUAGAUUUUAAGUGUUGAGCAAACCUGAUGUGACAACAUAGUCCUUGUUUCCAUACUAUGUUUAGUCUAAGCUAACCUUUUUCAGACCCUCCUCCCUGCUCCGAAUGAAAGCUUUGUGGAAAGGCACGCGCAACGCAACAGCAAGGAAUAAAAGUAUAGAAGCAGGAGAGAAAAGGAGGUAAAAAGCACUUGAACCUUCAUUGACUCCAGAAUUCCUGUAAGCCCUCAGCCUUCUCCGUUUUCUAAUAAAGGAGGAAGAUGUUUGGUGGCUGUCCUAUCCCCUUUUUAUUGUCCUCAUCAGUCCAUCAGUGUAUGGAUGGGAGAGAAGAGAAGAAAAAGGUAUAAGAAAAGUCAAGAGAAAGCAUUUGGGGUAAGAAGGAGAGGGAGAAUUAGAGGUGGUCAUGGGUUGGAGACUGGGGCUUGGGGGGUGUUCAAGAAGCCCCGGAGCAUCCCCGUUGACAACAGCUUAGGGAGAGCAAGUGCCACGUCCCCAUAAAGGGUGGAAGGGAUUUCCAAAUUUCCCCCAGCCCCCCUCAUUUAGAAUUUAACCCUCUGUAAGGGGACGGCGCACAGCUGAGCGCUGCCGAGGGCUGGCCUGGGAACGGGGUCCGGGUUAGGGUUCGUACACAUCAGUAACUCACUCCCACGGCCCUGGGCAGCAUUGUUCUCUAAAAGCAGACAUGUUUCCUUCCAAGUAGCAGACAUGGAAAGAAAAACACACACAAAAACAAAUCAUCUCGUCCUUCCUUCUCCGGAUGGCGAGCAGCCCGCUCCAGCUUGUCACUGAGGCUCGAGGUGGACGCAAUCCCAGUCUGACAGAGGAGAUGGGAGGAUGAAGAAGUCUCCGAAGCCCCUUUUCCCUGGAAAAUCCACUGAGGAAGGCUGACCCUACCGAGCUUUCUCCUUGACCUCUCCUAUGUACAUCUCCCUGUUACCAGCGCAUCUCAGCACAUCUCAAAGGCAGGCAUGGGAUACUUGGGGUUUUUCCACGUGUCAAACUCUUUCAGCUCUGUUGGGAAGGAUCUCAGUUAGCUCACGGCUCUGUCAGGCUUCCCUAAUACUCACCCAGUGCAGCUCCCUGCCUCUCGGUAAGGUCUGCAGGUUUCCUAAUGUCUUUCAGGGUUUGGGGGCUGCAAGGCUGUGGCUGGAAAGAAAUCACUGCAGAAAGAAGCAGAAACAGCGACGAUUGCACCCUCCUCUUGGGCUGCAUCCAGUCCUCAUGCCCUGAAGACGUUGAUGCGCUGGGUAAAGCUCUGAAGAUAAAAGGUCCUGGGUGUUUUGAAGGGGAUAAACCCAUCCUUUGCGAUAGGAUCUCCACCACUUGUUGCCCCGGCUCUGUUAUCUGUCCCUCAUUGGCUAUUUUUUUAAGCUUUCCCUCCUCACAAAAUAAUCAGUAAAUCAUAACAGGCUAAAAACACAGUUGGGCAUCUGUCCUGCCGCUGGGGCUUUUGGCUGCUUUUAGAUCAUUAAAUGGGCCUGGCUCUACACAACCUGACAAAUACGAGGUGAACUUUACCCCCGGGUCUGCCACCUUCACACAACAAGGGCACAUAUUCCACAGCUGGGGAGCUGUUAUUCGACUCGGACUGUACCACAGGUCAGAAUUUAUGACUUUGUUAUUAUUAUGUUUGUGAGUUUUAUGGCCACACAGGUCCCGCGGGAACCCGCAGCACUUUUGCUUGGCCAUGUCAGUCAGACAUUCAUAACGCACCAGAGAGGAAGCAUUGAAAAUGCUGGGAAUAUCCUGUCUAACACUGUCUCUCAUCUCUCUGACCCUCAGAUUGUAGGGCCACUGACAUGGUGGCAUCUCCUACUGGUACCCAAGAUGAAAAAUCCACUGAGCAGGACCAAGUCAGUGUGGUUAGCUGUCAGAAAAUACUCCUGUCUGGCCAUCUUACCCCCCUGCAGCAGCAUGGUCCUUCCCCACCAAGCUCCCCCACCUCUCAAGGGAUCUUCACUCUUCAGAAAAGUCAAAGUCUUCCCAAGCAGCAAAUGCACUCACCCCCAAGGAGCCCUGGCAUCUGCCACCAUCCACAGCCAAGAGCUGAUAGCAUCUGUUUCAUCGCCUGCCUUGCUGGGGACAUCUGGGCCAGGGACCAGGGUAUCUGAUGGAGAUGUAGUGGGCCAUGUUUGAAAUCUUUGCCGGAGCCACUGGCCUCUGAAGCCAUAAAACGCCAAGGUCAAAAUAUCCUGAGAAUUUUUCCCUUUUUCCCUCCUUCCCUGCUCCCUCUUUCACCCUCUCCCAGCCCUCCAGGAACCACCUCUCACAGGCAUCAUGUUAAAGGCAAGAGUGGCAUUGCAUUUUACAAGACCUGGGGUUUGACAUUCCUCACAUUUGGAUGCAGAAAAUAUUCAAGCAAUGUCAUCCUUUCAUUGCCUGUCCAUCCUGGAAGAACAAGGGGGUACAGAUAUGUGUAAUUACCACUGGGAGCCACAAACCUCUGAUUUGCGAACACACCGUGCAAGCUAACCUUGUAAUUAUAUAUUAAACUUAGAGAUCAUAUGUAAUAAUAAAUGUAUAAUUCCCUGGUAUCCAAUGAUAUUGUUAUUCUGUAGCAUAAGAUAA
This is a long non-coding RNA of Aquila chrysaetos chrysaetos, 4121 nucleotides long. RefSeq lists it as uncharacterized. The record is from RefSeq and is a predicted model, not a curated record. Lineage: Eukaryota; Metazoa; Chordata; Aves; Accipitriformes; Accipitridae. The transcript has 3 exons.